RNAcentral lists this non-coding RNA (30 nucleotides) under Rattus norvegicus (Norway rat). Lineage: Eukaryota; Metazoa; Chordata; Mammalia; Rodentia; Muridae. The record is from RNAcentral.
UAGAUUCGGUGGAUUUAGGUGCCCUGACUU